AGGUAAUGAGCUUGAAUAAGUAUAUAUUUUGAAAAUAUAUCAUAGAAUUAAUUAAAAUUUUAUUAUCUA
This 69-nucleotide transfer RNA is filed under the name Snellenius sp. SNS-2016. RNAcentral's name for it is "tRNA-Ser". Lineage: Eukaryota; Metazoa; Arthropoda; Insecta; Hymenoptera; Braconidae. The record is from RNAcentral.